GAUGAACGCUGGCGGCGUGCCUAAUACAUGCAAGUCGAGCGAACGGACGAGAAGCUUGCUUCUCUGAUGUUAGCGGCGGACGGGUGAGUAACACGUGGAUAACCUACCUAUAAGACUGGGAUAACUUCGGGAAACCGGAGCUAAUACCGGAUAAUAUUUUGAACCGCAUGGUUCAAAAGUGAAAGACGGUCUUGCUGUCACUUAUAGAUGGAUCCGCGCUGCAUUAGCUAGUUGGUAAGGUAACGGCUUACCAAGGCAACGAUGCAUAGCCGACCUGAGAGGGUGAUCGGCCACACUGGAACUGAGACACGGUCCAGACUCCUACGGGAGGCAGCAGUAGGGAAUCUUCCGCGAAGGGCGAAAGCCUGACGGAGCAACGCCGCGUGAGUGAUGAAGGUCUUCGGAUCGUAAAACUCUGUUAUUAGGGAAGAACAUAUGUGUAAGUAACUGUGCACAUCUUGACGGUACCUAAUCAGAAAGCCACGGCUAACUACGUG
Molecule: ribosomal RNA, 497 nt
Filed under: uncultured bacterium
Lineage: Bacteria
Description: partial 16S ribosomal RNA
Rfam family: Bacterial small subunit ribosomal RNA
Source: RNAcentral